RNAcentral lists this ribosomal RNA (2273 nucleotides) under Drosophila simulans. RNAcentral's name for it is "eukaryotic LSU rRNA". The stretch from base 1 to 1583 matches the Rfam family "Eukaryotic large subunit ribosomal RNA", at positions 988 to 3401 of the family's 3401-position model. The record is from RNAcentral. Lineage: Eukaryota; Metazoa; Arthropoda; Insecta; Diptera; Drosophilidae.
UUUUAAUUAUUAUAUAAAAAUAAUCUUAUCUGGUAAAAGCGAAUGAUUAGAGGGCCUUAGGGUCGAAAACGAUCUUAACCUAUUCUCAAACUUUAAAUGGGUAAGAACCUUAACUUUCUUGAUAUGAAGUUCAAGGUUAUGAUAUAAUGUGCCCAGUGGGCCACUUUUGGUAAGCAGAACUGGCGCUGUGGGAUGAACCAAACGUAAUGUUACGGUGCCCAAAUUAACAACUCAUGCAGAUACCAUGAAAGGCGUUGGUUGCUUAAACAGCAGGACGGUGAUCAUGGAAGUCGAAAUCCGCUAAGGAGUGUGUAACAACUCACCUGCCGAAGCAACUAGCCCUUAAAAUGGAUGGCGCUUAAGUUGUAUACCUAUACAUUACCGCUAAAGUAGAUGAUUUAUAUUACUUGUGAUAUAAAUUUUGAAACUUUAGUGAGUAGGAAGGUACAAUGGUAUGCGUAGAAGUGUUUGGCGUAAGCCUGCAUGGAGCUGCCAUUGGUACAGAUCUUGGUGGUAGUAGCAAAUAAUCGAAUGAGACCUUGGAGGACUGAAGUGGAGAAGGGUUUCGUGUGAACAGUGGUUGAUCACGAGUUAGUCGGUCCUAAGUUCAAGGCGAAAGCCGAAAAUUUUCAAGUAAAACAAAAAUGCCUAACUAUAUAAACAAAGCGAAUAUAAUACACUUGAAUAAUUUUGAACGAAAGGGAAUACGGUUCCAAUUCCGUAACCUGUUGAGUAUCCGUUUGUUAUUAAAUAUGGGCCUCGUGCUCAUCCUGGCAACAGGAACGACCAUAAAGAAGCCGUCGAGAGAUAUCGGAAGAGUUUUCUUUUCUGUUUUAUAGCCGUACUACCAUGGAAGUCUUUCGCAGAGAGAUAUGGUAGAUGGGCUAGAAGAGCAUGACAUAUACUGUUGUGUCGAUAUUUUCUCCUCGGACCUUGAAAAUUUAUGGUGGGGACACGCAAACUUCUCAACAGGCCGUACCAAUAUCCGCAGCUGGUCUCCAAGGUGAAGAGUCUCUAGUCGAUAGAAUAAUGUAGGUAAGGGAAGUCGGCAAAUUAGAUCCGUAACUUCGGGAUAAGGAUUGGCUCUGAAGAUUGAGAUAGUCGGGCUUGAUUGGGAAACAAUAACAUGGUUUAUGUGCUCGUUCUGGGUAAAUAGAGUUUCUAGCAUUUAUGUUAGUUACUUGUUCCCCGGAUAGUUUAGUUACGUAGCCAAUUGUGGAACUUUCUUGCUAAAAUUUUUAAGAAUACUAUUUGGGUUAAACCAAUUAGUUCUUAUCAAUUAUAACGAUUAUCAAUUAACAAUCAAUUCAGAACUGGCACGGACUUGGGGAAUCCGACUGUCUAAUUAAAACAAAGCAUUGUGAUGGCCCUAGCGGGUGUUGACACAAUGUGAUUUCUGCCCAGUGCUCUGAAUGUCAAAGUGAAGAAAUUCAAGUAAGCGCGGGUCAACGGCGGGAGUAACUAUGACUCUCUUAAGGUAGCCAAAUGCCUCGUCAUCUAAUUAGUGACGCGCAUGAAUGGAUUAACGACGGACGUGUUUUCGUUGCGCUCGUGUACAGAUUGCGAAGAACUUUGUUUUCCGUGUUUGGAAAGUAAUAAAAUCGGUGAAUUAGUGCUCCGCGAAAGUCGUGUGCUAAUUUUCGUGUGUUAUAAACAAGCGGUUUGGAAGUAAUUAGCGAUUAAUUAUUGCAAAUUUUCCAUUCAGCACGUGCUGCGAGGCGAGCUUACGAGUAAGUUUUUCGAGUAAGCUUUUUGAUCAGCUGUCGCAAAGCUUUUGGUGUCAGUCACUGCUAAGGUUUGUGUCUAGGGAGAGCUUUAGUGCUACCAGACUCUACCGAUAGGUGGAGCUCGAGUUCCAAAGCAACUACCUUUUGUCAGCGAGCAAACGAGUUGCUGGCGUCGACGGUAGGUGGAGCCACCAUCGUAGUUAUGCCGAUGGAGAGCGACAGUAGCGCGAGUGCCUUGAGCGGAAGUAGUGCCUCGAGGAAGUCUAAACGAGGCAGGCGCAGAAGCCACCUGGCAUCUAAGAGCUCGGCGCCAACGCAGCCGAAAUUGGUUGCCCUGUCAGCGAAUGGAGUGCCAGAACCCGUUGGGGUACUGGAGGAGCCGUUUUCGUCGCUGGAGGACGCCCGGGCGGCUACGGCAAACGCUGCCAUCGAUGCUGCCCCUCCCCACGCUGCUGCCACCGCUGUUGAUCCUACUGCUGCCCCUGCUGCUGCCCCUGCUGCCGACCACACUGCUGUCUCCGCCGUUUCCACUGCUGCUAAAAUUGU